Molecule: ribosomal RNA, 404 nt
Filed under: uncultured bacterium
Lineage: Bacteria
Description: partial 16S ribosomal RNA
Rfam family: Bacterial small subunit ribosomal RNA
Source: RNAcentral
GAUGAACGCUGACAGCAUGCUUAACACAUGCAAGUCAACUGUGGCGGACGGGUGAGUAACGCGUAAAGAACUUGCCUCGCGGAUAGGGACAACAUUUGGAAACGAAUGCUAAUACCUGAUACUGUGAGAGAGCUUUGCGUCCCAUUGGCUAGUUGGAGAGGUAACGGCUCACAAAGGCGAUGAUGGGUAGCCGGCCUGGGAGGGUGAUCGGCCACAAGGGGACUGAGACACGGCCCUUACUCCUACGGGAGGCAGUAGUGGGGAAUAUUGGACAAUGGACCAAAGUCUGAUCCAGGAAUUCUGUGUGCACGAUGAAGUUUUCGGAAUGUAAAGUGCUUUCAGUUGGGAAGCAGUACCAACAGAAGAAGUGACGGCUAAAUACGUGCCAGCAGCCGCGGUAAUAC